Molecule: ribosomal RNA, 423 nt
Filed under: Triticum aestivum (bread wheat)
Lineage: Eukaryota; Viridiplantae; Streptophyta; Magnoliopsida; Poales; Poaceae
Description: partial small subunit ribosomal RNA
Source: RNAcentral
AUGCCGCGCCACCUCGGCCUUCACGGCGUGAUCGCCGCCGGCGCGUCGCGCCACCUCGCCCUGCACCACAGCGGCGUGAUCGCGGCCGCGGUGCCGGCGGCGGCGGCGUUCCUGGCCGUGUGCACGCUGGCGCUGGCGCUGUGCGCGUCGCACUCGGGGGCGGGGGCGGCGGCGACAGAGCGGCUGCGGCGCGCGCUGGCGAGCGUGAGCCGCCGGAGGACGGACCCGGUCAUCAGCAUCCACCAGGUGCAGCCCGGCGGCGUAGGGGCCGACGCGUCCCCGCCGCCUUGCGUCUGGCAGAAAGGGAUCCUCAUGGGAGGGAAGUGCCAGCUGCCGGACUUCUCCGGCGUCAUCAACUACGACCCCGCCGGCAACAUGGUCGCGCCCGGCCGUCCUCGGGCCUUGCCGGCGCUUGGCUGGUGA